RNAcentral lists this ribosomal RNA (495 nucleotides) under uncultured bacterium. RNAcentral describes it as "partial 16S ribosomal RNA". It matches the Rfam family "Bacterial small subunit ribosomal RNA", at positions 28 to 507 of the family's 1533-position model. The record is from RNAcentral.
GACGAACGCUGGCGGCGUGCCUAAUACAUGCAAGUAGAACGCUGAAGGAGGAGCUUGCUUCUCUGGAUGAGUUGCGAACGGGUGAGUAACGCGUAGGUAACCUGCCUGGUAGCGGGGGAUAACUAUUGGAAACGAUAGCUAAUACCGCAUAAUAGUAGAUGUUGCAUGACAUUUGCUUAAAAGGUGCAAUUGCAUCACUACCAGAUGGACCUGCGUUGUAUUAGCUAGUUGGUGGGGUAACGGCUCACCAAGGCGACGAUACAUAGCCGACCUGAGAGGGUGAGCGGCCACACUGGGACUGAGACACGGCCCAGACUCCUACGGGAGGCAGCAGGAGGGAAGCUUCGGCAAUGGACGGAAGUCUGACCGAGCAACGCCGCGUGAGUGAAGAAGGGUUUCGGAUCGUAAAGCUCUGUUGUAAGGGAAGAACGAGGGUGAGAGUGGAAAGUUCACACUGUGACGGUAUCUUACCAGAAAGGGACGGCUAACUACGUG